RNAcentral lists this ribosomal RNA (449 nucleotides) under uncultured bacterium. RNAcentral's name for it is "bacterial SSU rRNA". It matches the Rfam family "Bacterial small subunit ribosomal RNA", at positions 355 to 796 of the family's 1533-position model. The record is from RNAcentral.
UGGGGAAUAUUGGACAAUGGGGGGAACCCUGAUCCAGCAAUGCCGCGUGUGUGAAGAAGGCCUGAGGGUUGUAAAGCACUUUCAGUGGGGAGGAGGAUUGAUAGGUUAAGAGCUGAUGGAAUGGACGUUACCCACAGAAGAAGCACCGGCUAACUCCGUGCCAGCAGCCGCGGUAAUACGGAGGGUGCGAGCGUUAAUCGGAAUUACUGGGCGUAAAGGGUGCGUAGGUGGUUGAUUAAGUUAUCUGUGAAAUUCCUGGGCUCAACCUGGGCAGGUCAGAUAAUACUGAUGAACUGGAGUAUAGGAGAGGGUAGUGGAAUUUCCGGUGUAGCGGUGAAAUGCGUAGAGAUCGGAAGGAACACCGGUGGCGAAGGCGGCUACCUGGCCUGAUACUGACACUGAGGCACGAAAGCGUGGGGAGCAAACAGGAUUAGAUACCCCCGUAGUCC